AGUGAACGCUGGCGGUAGGCCUAACACAUGCCAGUCGAACGGCAGCACAGUAAGAGCUUGCUCUUACGGGUGGCGAGUGGCGGACGGGUGAGGAAUACAUCGGAAUCUACUUUUUCGUGGGGGAUAACGUAGGGAAACUUACGCUAAUACCGCAUACGACCUACGGGUGAAAGCAGGGGAUCUUCGGACCUUGCGCGAUUGAAUGAGCCGAUGUCGGAUUAGCUAGUUGGCGGGGUAAAGGCCCACCAAGGCGACGAUCCGUAGCUGGUCUGAGAGGAUGAUCAGCCACACUGGAACUGAGACACGGUCCAGACUCCUACGGGAGGCAGCAGUGGGGAAUAUUGGACAAUGGGCGCAAGCCUGAUCCAGCCAUACCGCGUGGGUGAAGAAUGCCUUCGGGUUGUAAAGCCCUUUUGUUGGGAAAGAAAAGCAGCAGGUUAAUACCCCGCUGUUCUGACGGUACCCAAAGAAUAAGCACCGGCUAACUUCGUG
This 492-nucleotide ribosomal RNA is filed under the name uncultured bacterium. RNAcentral's name for it is "partial 16S ribosomal RNA". It matches the Rfam family "Bacterial small subunit ribosomal RNA", at positions 29 to 507 of the family's 1533-position model. The record is from RNAcentral.